CUACGGGCUGCUCCAGUGGGGAAUAUUGCACAAUGGAGGAAACUCUGAUGCAGCAACGCCGCGUGGAGGAUGACACUUUUCGGAGCGUAAACUCCUUUUAUAUAGGAAGAAGAUGACGGUACUAUAUGAAUAAGCGCCGGCUAACUCCGUGCCAGCAGCCGCGGUAAUACGGAGGGUGCAAGCGUUACUCGGAAUCACUGGGCGUAAAGAGCGUGUAGGCGGAUUAAAAAGUCAGAAGUGAAAUCCUAUAGCUUAACUAUAGAACUGCUUCUUAAACUCUUAAUCUAGAAUAUGGGAGAGGUAGAUGGAAUUUCUGGUGUAGGGGUAAAAUCCGUAGAGAUCAGAAGGAAUACCGAUUGCGAAGGCGAUCUACUAGAACAUUAUUGACGCUGAGACGCGAAAGCGUGGGGAGCAAACAGGAUUAGAUACCCGUGUAGUC
This 439-nucleotide ribosomal RNA is filed under the name uncultured bacterium. RNAcentral's name for it is "partial 16S ribosomal RNA". It matches the Rfam family "Bacterial small subunit ribosomal RNA", at positions 339 to 795 of the family's 1533-position model. The record is from RNAcentral.